AAAUUGAAGAGUUUGAUCAUGGCUCAGAUUGAACGCUGGCGGCAGGCCUAACACAUGCAAGUCGAACGGUAGCACAGAGAGCUUGCUCUCGGGUGACGAGUGGCGGACGGGUGAGUAAUGUCUGGGAAACUGCCUGAUGGAGGGGGAUAACUACUGGAAACGGUGGCUAAUACCGCAUAACGUCGCAAGACCAAAGAGGGGGACCUUCGGGCCUCUUGCCAUCAGAUGUGCCCAGAUGGGAUUAGCUUGUUGGUGAGGUAACGGCUCACCAAGGCGACGAUC
This 282-nucleotide ribosomal RNA is filed under the name Salmonella enterica subsp. enterica serovar Infantis. RNAcentral describes it as "partial 16S ribosomal RNA". It matches the Rfam family "Bacterial small subunit ribosomal RNA", at positions 1 to 281 of the family's 1533-position model. Lineage: Bacteria; Pseudomonadati; Pseudomonadota; Gammaproteobacteria; Enterobacterales; Enterobacteriaceae. RNAcentral also lists the same sequence under 4 other names. The record is from RNAcentral.